Long non-coding RNA from Oncorhynchus keta (chum salmon), 4343 nucleotides. RefSeq lists it as uncharacterized. The record is from RefSeq and is a predicted model, not a curated record. The transcript has 11 exons. Lineage: Eukaryota; Metazoa; Chordata; Actinopteri; Salmoniformes; Salmonidae.
AUAUCUGUCAUAGAGGUCAAUAUUUCACAUAGUCCUCCCACUAUAUAUCUGCUAUAGAGGUCAAUAUUUCACAUAGUCCUCCCACUAUAUAUCUGCCAUAGAGGUCAGUAUUUCACAUAGUCCUCCCACUAUAUAUCUGCUAUAGAGGUCAAUAUUUCACAUAGUCCUCCCACUAUAUAUCUGCCAUAGAGGUCAAUAUUUCACAUAGUCCUCCCACUAUAUAUCUGCUAUAGAGGUCAGUAUUUCACAUAGUCCUCCCACUAUAUAUCUGCCAUAGAGGUCAGUAUUUCACAUAGUCCUCCCACUAUAUAUCUGCUAUAGAGGUCAAUAUUUCACAUAGUCCUCCCACUAUAUAUCUGUCAUAGAGGUCAACAUUUCACAUAGUCCUCCCACUAUAUAUCUGCUAUAGAGGUCAACAUUUCACAUAGUCCUCCCACUAUAUAUCUGCUAUAGAGGUCAAUAUUUCACAUAGUCCUCCCACUAUAUAUCUGCUAUAGAGGUCAACAUUUCACAUAGUCCUCCCACAAUAUAUCUGCUAUAGAGGUCAAUAUUUCACAUAGUCCUCCCACUAUAUAUCUGCCAUAGAGGUCAAUAUUUCACAUAGUCAUCCAAAUAUAUAUAUCUGUCAAAAAAUUAAAAUAAAAUCAGCUUGAAUUGAGCUUGAUGUCUUAUUAUGAAGCAUUCAGUCAUUCUCAGACUGCUCACAUAGUAGUGCUGCUUACAUCCCUUUCCCUAGAUGUACAUUAGUAAUUAAUGUGAUGAACAGUCAUUCCAAUAUGAUGUAUGGUAUUUCAUUAAAUUAUGUAAUGAGACAGAAAUUCAAUGAACAAUAAUAACUAAUGCAUUCUGUUUUACAUGAUCAUUAUUCAUGACUCUCCAUCUUGGAUAAUGGAUGAUCAGAAGAGGGUGAGUAAUUACUUAUUUGUCUGUUUUGUUUAUUGACAACCAAUAACACAAGACAAAGAACAGACCAGAGUGUUAAUCUGAUACUAUAAAAACUACAGGCCUUGUGAACAGCAGUGUGUCUUCUUCAAAGAUACAAAUUAAAUCAGUUUCUUUACAUUUAUCAAUACUCUCCCCAAAUGUUCUCAAGGUAGGUUGGAUUAAGAUGUAUAGAUGUUCUUCAAAUUAUCCAGCAUUUUCACAUCAUAGAUCUCCCACAAUAUAUCUGCUGUGGAGCUCAACAUUUUAGAGGGGUUGAGUUAAAUGCGGAAGACACAUCUCAGUUGAAUACAUUCAGUUGGUCAACUGACUAGGUAUCCCCCUUUCCUUUCCCUUUCACAAUAUAUCUGCCAUGGAGGUCAACAUUUCACAUAGUCCUCCCACUAUAUAUCUGCCAUAGAGGUCAAUAUUUCACAUAGUCCUCCCACUAUAUAUCUGCUAUAGAGGUCAACAUUUCACAUAGUCCUCCCACUAUAUAUCUGCUAUAGAGGUCAACAUUUCACAUAGUCCUCCCACUAUAUAUCUGCCAUUGAGGUCAAUAUUUCACAUAGUCCUCCCACUAUAUAUCUGCUAUAGAGGUCAAUAUUUCACAUAGUCCUCCCACUAUAUAUCUGCUAUAGAGGUCAACAUUUCACAUAGUCCUCCCACUAUAUAUCUGCUAUAGAGGUCAACAUUUCACAUAGUCCUCCCACUAUAUAUCUGCUAUAGAGGUCAAUAUUUCACAUAGUCCUCCCACUAUAUAUCUGUCAUAGAGGUCAAUAUUUCACAUAGUCCUCCCACUAUAUAUCUGCUAUAGAGGUCAAUAUUUCACAUAGUCCUCCCACUAUAUAUCUGCUAUAGAGGUCAAUAUUUCACAUAGUCCUCCCACUAUAUAUCUGCCAUAGAGGUCAAUAUUUCACAUAGUCCUCCCACUAUAUAUCUGCUGUAGAGGUCAAUAUUUCACAUAGUCCUCCCACUAUAUAUCUGCUAUAGAGGUCAACAUUUCACAUAGUCCUCCCACUAUAUAUCUGCUAUAGAGGUCAACAUUUCACAUAGUCCUCCCACUAUAUAUCUGCUAUAGAGGUCAACAUUUCACAUCCCAAAAUGAACAUGGAAUCAGCUUGAAUUCAGUUUAAUGUCCGAGUAUGAAUCAUUCUGUGAUGUUUAGACUGUUCCAAUAGUAGCACUGCUUACAUCCCUUUCCCUAGAUGUACAUUAGUAAUGAAUGUGAUGACCAGUCAUUCCAAAAUGAUGUAUGGUAUUUUAUUAAAUUAUUGAAAUGAGACAGAAAUUCAAUGACCAAUAAUAACUAAUGCAUUCUGUUUUACAUGAUCAUUAUUCAUGACUCUCCAUCUUGGAUAAUGGAUGAUCAGAUGAGGGUGAGUAAUUACUUAUUUGUCUGAUUUGUUUAUUGACAACCAAUAACACAAGACAAAGAACAGACCAGAGUGUUAAUCUGAUACUAUAAAAACUACAGGCCUUGUGAACAGCAGUGUGUCUUCUUCAAGGGAACAAACUAAAUCAGUUUCUUUACAUUUAUCAAAACUCUUCCCAAAUGUUCUCAAGGUAGGUUGGAUUAAGAUGUAUAGAUGUUCUUCAAAUUAUCCAGCAUUUUCAUAUCAUAGUCCUCCCACAAUAUAUCUGCUAUGGAGGUCAACAUUUCACAUAGUCCUCCCACUAUAUAUCUGCUAUAGAGGUCAAUAUUUCACAUAGUCCUCCCACUAUAUAUCUGCUAUAGAGGUCAAUAUUUCACAUAGUCCUCCCACUAUAUAUCUGCCAUAGAGGUCAAUAUUUCACAUAGUCCUCCCACUAUAUAUCUGCUAUAGAGGUCAAUAUUUCACAUAGUUCUCCCACUAUAUAUCUGCCAUAGAGGUCAAUAUUUCACAUAGUCCUCCCACUAUAUAUCUGCUAUAGAGGUCAAUAUUUCACAUAGUCCUCCCACUAUAUAUCUGCUAUAGAGGUCAACAUUUCACAUAGUCCUCCCACUAUAUAUCUGCUAUAGAGGUCAAUAUUUCACAUAGUCCUCCCACUAUAUAUCUGCUAUAGAGGUCAACAUUUCACAUAGUCCUCCCACUAUAUAUCUGCUAUAGAGGUCAAUAUUUCACAUAGUCCUCCCACUAUAUAUCUGCUAUAGAGGUCAAUAUUUCACAUAGUCCUCCCACUAUAUAUCUGCUAUAGAGGUCAAUAUUUCACAUAGUCCUCCCACUAUAUAUCUGCUAUAGAGGUCAAUAUUUCACAUAGUCCUCCCACUAUAUAUCUGCUAUAGAGGUCAAUAUUUCACAUAGUCCUCCCACUAUAUAUCUGCUAUAGAGGUCAAUAUUUCACAUAGUCCUCCCACUAUAUAUCUGCUAUAGAGGUCAAUAUUUCACAUAGUCCUCCCACUAUAUAUCUGCCAUAGAGGUCAAUAUUUCACAUAGUCCUCCCACUAUAUAUCUGCUAUAGAGGUCAAUAUUUCACAUAGUCCUCCCACUAUAUAUCUGCCAUAGAGGUCAAUAUUUCACAUAGUCCUCCCACUAUAUAUCUGCUAUAGAGGUCAAUAUUUCACAUAGUCCUCCCACUAUAUAUCUGCCAUAGAGGUCAAUAUUUCACAUAGUCCUCCCACUAUAUAUCUGCUAUAGAGGUCAAUAUUUCACAUAGUCCUCCCACUAUAUAUCUGCUAUAGAGGUCAAUAUUUCACAUAGUCCUCCCACUAUAUAUCUGCUAUAGAGGUCAAUAUUUCACAUAGUCCUCCCACUAUAUAUCUGCCAUAGAGGUCAAUAUUUCACAUAGUCCUCCCACUAUAUAUCUGCUAUAGAGGUCAAUAUUUCACAUAGUCCUCCCACUAUAUAUCUGCCAUAGAGGUCAAUAUUUCACAUAGUCCUCCCACUAUAUAUCUGCUAUAGAGGUCAACAUUUCACAUCCCAAAAUGAACAUGGAAUCAGCUUGAAUUCAGUUUAAUGUCCGAGUAUGAAUCAUUCUGUGAUGUUUAGACUGUUCCAAUAGUAGCACUGCUUACAUCCCUUUCCCUAGAUGUACAUUAGUAAUGAAUGUGAUGACCAGUCAUUCCAAAAUGAUGUAUGGUAUUUUAUUAAAUUAUUGAAAUGAGACAGAAAUUCAAUGAACAAUAAUAACUAAUGCAUUCUGUUUUACAUGAUCAUUAUUCAUGACUCUCCAUCUUGGAUAAUGGAUGAUCAGAUGAGGUCUCAGGAUCACGGUAUUUACAACGUGAGACCCAGGAGGACAAGCUGAAGAGGGAGGCAUCAGCUGGUGAGCUUGAGAUGUUUAAAGAGAUGAUGAAACAACUAAAGGAUAGAAACAUUCAACUAGAGGCUCUGAGAAAGAACCUGCAGGACAAGAACAGCCAAGUAGAGAACUUCAGAGUCCUACUGGAGGAACAAGACCUUCAACUAGAGGACAGGAACCACAGACUGGGAGAGAAGGAC